Molecule: non-coding RNA, 83 nt
Organism: Biscogniauxia sp. FL1348
Lineage: Eukaryota; Fungi; Ascomycota; Sordariomycetes; Xylariales; Xylariaceae
Source: the annotation of a GenBank genome assembly
GGUUAUAUGGCGCAAUGGUUAACGCUUGGUUUGCAUUAGUGUGGGAAACUAAUAGUGCGUAGGUUCGAAUCUCGCUGUGGUCG